This 254-nucleotide ribosomal RNA is filed under the name uncultured bacterium. RNAcentral's name for it is "partial 16S ribosomal RNA". It matches the Rfam family "Bacterial small subunit ribosomal RNA", at positions 524 to 776 of the family's 1533-position model. The record is from RNAcentral.
UACGUGGGGUGCGAGCGUUGUCCGGAUUUAUUGGGCGUAAAGAGCUCGUAGGCGGUUCAGUAAGUCAGGUGUGAAAUCUUUGGGCUUAACCCAAAGCGUGCACUUGAUACUGCUGUGACUUGAGUUCGGUAGGGGAGUGGGGAAUUCCUAGUGUAGCGGUGAAAUGCGCAGAUAUUAGGAGGAACACCGGUGGCGAAGGCGCCACUCUGGGCCGAAACUGACGCUGAGGAGCGAAAGCGUGGGUAGCAAACAGG